GGGGGAUUGGCGCAAUGGUAGCGCGUUGGUUUUCGGUCCUUCUGAAAGCACACCAAAGGUUGUGGGUUCGAGCCCCAUGUCCCUCG
Molecule: transfer RNA, 86 nt
Organism: Paraphaeosphaeria sporulosa
Lineage: Eukaryota; Fungi; Ascomycota; Dothideomycetes; Pleosporales; Didymosphaeriaceae
Rfam family: tRNA
About the family: Transfer RNA (tRNA) molecules are approximately 80 nucleotides in length. Their secondary structure includes four short double-helical elements and three loops (D, anti-codon, and T loops). Further hydrogen bonds mediate the characteristic L-shaped molecular structure. tRNAs have two regions of fundamental functional importance: the anti-codon, which is responsible for specific mRNA codon recognition, and the 3' end, to which the tRNAs corresponding amino acid is attached (by aminoacyl-tRNA synthetases). tRNAs cope with the degeneracy of the genetic code in two manners: having more than one tRNA (with a specific anti-codon) for a particular amino acid; and 'wobble' base-pairing, i.e. permitting non-standard base-pairing at the 3rd anti-codon position.
Source: Rfam